CCUACGGGAGGCAGCAGUGGGGAAUAUUGGGCAAUGGGCGAAAGCCUGACCCAGCGACGCCGCGUGCGGGAUGAAGGCCUUCGGGUUGUAAACCGCUUUCAGCAGGGAAGAAGCGAAAGUGACGGUACCUGAAGAAGAAGCACCGGCUAACUACGUGCCAGCAGCCGCGGUAAUACGUAGGGUGCGAGCGUUAAUCGGAAUUACUGGGCGUAAAGCGUGCGCAGGCGGUUUGAUAAGACAGGCGUGAAAUCCCCGGGCUUAACCUGGGAACUGCGCUUGUGACUGUCUCACUAGAGUACGGCAGAGGGGGGUGGAAUUCCACGUGUAGCAGUGAAAUGCGUAGAGAUGUGGAGGAACACCGAUGGCGAAGGCAGCCCCCUGGGCCGAUACUGACGCUCAUGCACGAAAGCGUGGGGAGCAAACAGGAUUAGAUACCCUGGUAGUCCACGCCCUAAACGAUGUCAACUAGGUGUUGGGUGGGUAAAACCAUUUAGUACCGUAGCUAACGCGUGAAGUUGACCGCCUGGGGAGUACGGCCGCAAGGUUAAAACUCAAAGGAAUUGACGG
This 567-nucleotide ribosomal RNA is filed under the name uncultured beta proteobacterium. Its description in RNAcentral is "bacterial SSU rRNA". It matches the Rfam family "Bacterial small subunit ribosomal RNA", at positions 338 to 916 of the family's 1533-position model. The record is from RNAcentral. Lineage: Bacteria; Pseudomonadati; Pseudomonadota; Betaproteobacteria.